Molecule: small nuclear RNA, 281 nt
Filed under: Pogona vitticeps (central bearded dragon)
Lineage: Eukaryota; Metazoa; Chordata; Lepidosauria; Squamata; Agamidae
Description: 7SK RNA (ENSPVIG00000001639.1)
Rfam family: 7SK RNA
About the family: 7SK was discovered as an abundant small nuclear RNA in the mid-70s but a possible function has only recently been suggested. Two independent studies have found that 7SK RNA binds the CDK9/cyclin T complex (known as elongation factor P-TEFb).
Source: RNAcentral
GAAAGUAUAUGUGUGAGGCAUCUGGUUGAUCCCCAGGAUUGAUUUGGCUGAUCUGGCUGGCUAGGCAGGUAUCACUGACCGCUCCAUGUAUGUCCUUAUUGAAGCUGCAUGGUUGGUGGAGGAGGAUGACCAUCCCAUGUAGAAGGAGUGUAGCUUUUUUUGAUCAAGAGUGCACAAUAUCUGUCCCCCCCCCCCGUUAGAACCUCCAAACAUGGUCAAGUAUGUAUGUAUAUAAAUAUCAGCACUGAAAAUAUUGAGUAAUCUGAGUAAAUGUAGGACUC